GGAGCACAAUGCUUAGUGGCGACCGGGUGCGUAACACGUAGUCGACCUGCCCGCGCGCGGGGGAUAACAGUCCGAAAGGGCUGCUAAUACCGCAUACAUUUGAGGUUUCCAGAAAGCCUUGAAGAAACUUCCGGGGCGCGCGGAGGGGGCUGCGGCCCAUCAGGUAGUUGGUGCGGUAACGGCGCACCAAGCCAACGACGGGUAGGGGGCCUGAGAGGGCUACCCCCCACACUGGGACAGACACACGGCCCAGAC
RNAcentral lists this ribosomal RNA (255 nucleotides) under uncultured Chloroflexota bacterium. Its description in RNAcentral is "uncultured Chloroflexi bacterium partial 16S ribosomal RNA". It matches the Rfam family "Bacterial small subunit ribosomal RNA", at positions 80 to 336 of the family's 1533-position model. The record is from RNAcentral. Lineage: Bacteria; Bacillati; Chloroflexota.